Molecule: long non-coding RNA, 2309 nt
Filed under: Homo sapiens (human)
Lineage: Eukaryota; Metazoa; Chordata; Mammalia; Primates; Hominidae
Description: HSALNT0075213
Source: RNAcentral
AGCAACUGGAACUCUAAUACAUUGAGUAUUGGGAUGUAAAAUGGUGUAGUCUCAUUGAAAGAAAGUUUUCAUUUUUUAAAAAAAGUACAACAAACUCACCGUAUGACACAGCAAUUCCACUUCUGCAAAUCUACAGAAGCAUGCUGUUCCCUGAGUGAAUCUUCCUGAAAGUCUGUAAAAAGGGAAUCUGAGGAAACAGAGCCCUUCAUCAAAAGGUUUCUGCAUGAGCGCACAUUCAAUUCUCCACUGUUUUGAUAAGACCCCACCCUGUUUUUAUGGCUGGCUCCUCCCAGUACAGGAUGAAGUAUAGUCCCCCAGGAUUUAAAGUGCUUAUUUAACAGAUGAAUCAUGUGUGGAUAAAUUGUGGAUCACAUUUAUCUUUUGAAACUUACUACUUGAGGUUUGCUCUCUAAAAUAAGACUCUUGGACUCACAAAGGCCAGAAAACCUUUAUGUCUGCAGAUAUAUGAUAAGAAGAUGUUUAAAGUACUCUGUUGGAAAUAUCUGGGGAGUGCCAUAAAGGAGAAGGACUGGUAUCCCUCAGUCCCACAAGGUCACUGGAGUGGAACAUCAGUGCUAUGACAUAUUUGUUUCCGGGGAAAAGCACAUUGGCCUUUGCCUCCUUCUUUUCUAACCAGCUGGCAAAUAAAGUAUUCCCAGAGGGUUGAAUAUAAUCUUGGUGAGCUGACAAUGAAGCCUGCCAGACCAUAGGACAAAGUUUGAACCAAAAGAAUUUUAAACUGCUAGAUUUCUUGGGAUGGAUUCCUCAGGUCUAGUAUGACAAUCCUUCUCUAUCAUUGUGCAUUGUUCAUUAGGAGCUUUUUCUUUUUCUUUUUUUUCUUUUUCUUUUUUUUUGAGAGACACAGUCUCACUCUGUCACCAGGCUGGGGUGCAGUGGCUCAAUCCCGGCUCCCUGCAACCUCCACCACCUGGGUUCAAGGGAUUCUCCUGCCUCAGUCUCCUGAGUAGUUGGGACUACAGGUACACACCACCACACCCAGCUAAUCUUUGUAUUUUUAGUGGAGACGGGGUUUCACCAUGUUGAUCAGGAUUGUCUCGAUCUCUUGACCUCAUGAUCCACCUGCCUCGGCCUCUCAGCGUUCUGGGAUUACAGGCGUGAGCCACCGCACCCGGCUUAGCUUUUUCUAUUUGCAGUUUGUAUGAGUGGUUGCUACUUAUUUCACAUUAAAUAUCUGGGUCCAAUUACAUCUUGCCAUUGCACUAAUUUAUAGGAAUGCAUCCCCUGUUACUGCAUUAAUGGCUAUAGUCUAUUCCUUCUGUUUUUCUCACUGUCAUUCUUACUUAAAUACUUCUUGACAUGUUUCUGGCUUUUCAUAACUCUAUGGACCUCCCAGGUAACAUAAUGCCACCUGCUACUCUUUCUAACAAUCAAACUUCGUCACAACUGUGUGCAUUACAACUAAGAAGAUCAAUUUAUUUUUUAGCAGUUUCACUUUGUAAGUUUCUCAAACUCUAUUAUCCCUCAGUCUACUUUUUCUUAGAAUAUGAUCUCAUGUCUUACUUAUAAUACAUCCCACUUGAACUAUUUUAGUUUCUCAACAAAUUUAUUGAGGAAACAUUAUUUUCCCUUGGUUAUCUUUCUACAUAUAGAGGGCCAUUUCAUUCUCCAAGCAGAAGCAGUAAUAAGCUAUUAUUUUCAAGAAUUCUGCAUAUUUUUCUCAUUUAUUUUACCAUAAGAGAGAAACAUUUGUAUUCAUUGACUAUCCUAUUGGUUGAGUUAACUCAUUAGAGAACAGUACUCACACAUUGGCCUACUACUUGUUUGUUUGUUUGUUUUUCUCUCUGUCUCUCAACAGUUGCCCCAUCUGCAGUGUAAAGGUUAGGUAGAGUUCACGGGCUAGAACUGCAGACCACACAUUUGAAACCUUAAUUCAGGCUGUUUAUUCAAUCCAGGUUAAACAGAAAUAAAAUAAUAUAUUGUUUAAAUUUUUAUACCUAUGUCUAUUUUUUAAUUGGUUCAAAACAUAAAAGAGAGAAAUAUAAUUAAUUAGUACCUCUCAAGACCUCAAAAAAUCAUUUAAUUGUAAUAUAUGGGUAUUAUAAUCUUGUUAUUAAAAUGUACACUUAUAAACAGUGUAAUGAGAAAUAGGUACAUGAUGAAGAGUUAACUUAUUUAAUGGCAAACAACUUACUGAGUGGUCAAUUUUCAAGUUCAUUGAUGAAACAGUUUGUAUUUACAGAAAAAUAACUAGAUGAUAUAUGUCCCAUCAACUCUCUGUGUUAUUUCUUUCUUUCUUUCUUUCUUUCUUUUUUUUUUUUUUUUGAGACAGUUUCCCUCUUGUUGCCCAG